RNAcentral lists this ribosomal RNA (1868 nucleotides) under Escherichia coli. RNAcentral's name for it is "partial 23S ribosomal RNA". It matches the Rfam family "Bacterial large subunit ribosomal RNA", at positions 1 to 1895 of the family's 2925-position model. Lineage: Bacteria; Pseudomonadati; Pseudomonadota; Gammaproteobacteria; Enterobacterales; Enterobacteriaceae. The record is from RNAcentral.
GGUUAAGCGACUAAGCGUACACGGUGGAUGCCCUGGCAGUCAGAGGCGAUGAAGGACGUGCUAAUCUGCGAUAAGCGUCGGUAAGGUGAUAUGAACCGUUAUAACCGGCGAUUUCCGAAUGGGGAAACCCAGUGUGUUUCGACACACUAUCAUUAACUGAAUCCAUAGGUUAAUGAGGCGAACCGGGGGAACUGAAACAUCUAAGUACCCCGAGGAAAAGAAAUCAACCGAGAUUCCCCCAGUAGCGGCGAGCGAACGGGGAGCAGCCCAGAGCCUGAAUCAGUGUGUGUGUUAGUGGAAGCGUCUGGAAAGGCGCGCGAUACAGGGUGACAGCCCCGUACACAAAAAUGCACAUGCUGUGAGCUCGAUGAGUAGGGCGGGACACGUGGUAUCCUGUCUGAAUAUGGGGGGACCAUCCUCCAAGGCUAAAUACUCCUGACUGACCGAUAGUGAACCAGUACCGUGAGGGAAAGGCGAAAAGAACCCCGGCGAGGGGAGUGAAAAAGAACCUGAAACCGUGUACGUACAAGCAGUGGGAGCACGCUUAGGCGUGUGACUGCGUACCUUUUGUAUAAUGGGUCAGCGACUUAUAUUCUGUAGCAAGGUUAACCGAAUAGGGGAGCCGAAGGGAAACCGAGUCUUAACUGGGCGUUAAGUUGCAGGGUAUAGACCCGAAACCCGGUGAUCUAGCCAUGGGCAGGUUGAAGGUUGGGUAACACUAACUGGAGGACCGAACCGACUAAUGUUGAAAAAUUAGCGGAUGACUUGUGGCUGGGGGUGAAAGGCCAAUCAAACCGGGAGAUAGCUGGUUCUCCCCGAAAGCUAUUUAGGUAGCGCCUCGUGAAUUCAUCUCCGGGGGUAGAGCACUGUUUCGGCAAGGGGGUCAUCCCGACUUACCAACCCGAUGCAAACUGCGAAUACCGGAGAAUGUUAUCACGGGAGACACACGGCGGGUGCUAACGUCCGUCGUGAAGAGGGAAACAACCCAGACCGCCAGCUAAGGUCCCAAAGUCAUGGUUAAGUGGGAAACGAUGUGGGAAGGCCCAGACAGCCAGGAUGUUGGCUUAGAAGCAGCCAUCAUUUAAAGAAAGCGUAAUAGCUCACUGGUCGAGUCGGCCUGCGCGGAAGAUGUAACGGGGCUAAACCAUGCACCGAAGCUGCGGCAGCGACACUGUGUGUUGUUGGGUAGGGGAGCGUUCUGUAAGCCUGUGAAGGUGUACUGUGAGGUAUGCUGGAGGUAUCAGAAGUGCGAAUGCUGACAUAAGUAACGAUAAAGCGGGUGAAAAGCCCGCUCGCCGGAAGACCAAGGGUUCCUGUCCAACGUUAAUCGGGGCAGGGUGAGUCGACCCCUAAGGCGAGGCCGAAAGGCGUAGUCGAUGGGAAACAGGUUAAUAUUCCUGUACUUGGUGUUACUGCGAAGGGGGGACGGAGAAGGCUAUGUUGGCCGGGCGACGGUUGUCCCGGUUUAAGCGUGUAGGCUGGUUUUCCAGGCAAAUCCGGAAAAUCAAGGCUGAGGCGUGAUGACGAGGCACUACGGUGCUGAAGCAACAAAUGCCCUGCUUCCAGGAAAAGCCUCUAAGCAUCAGGUAACAUCAAAUCGUACCCCAAACCGACACAGGUGGUCAGGUAGAGAAUACCAAGGCGCUUGAGAGAACUCGGGUGAAGGAACUAGGCAAAAUGGUGCCGUAACUUCGGGAGAAGGCACGCUGAUAUGUAGGUGAAGCGACUUGCUCGUGGAGCUGAAAUCAGUCGAAGAUACCAGCUGGCUGCAACUGUUUAUUAAAAACACAGCACUGUGCAAACACGAAAGUGGACGUAUACGGUGUGACGCCUGCCCGGUGCCGGAAGGUUAAUUGAUGGGGUUAGCG